Molecule: ribosomal RNA, 253 nt
Filed under: uncultured bacterium
Lineage: Bacteria
Description: partial 16S ribosomal RNA
Rfam family: Bacterial small subunit ribosomal RNA
Source: RNAcentral
UACGUAGGGGGCAAGCGUUGUCCGGAAUCACUGGGCGUAAAGCGCACGUAGGCGGUCCGUUAAGUCAUGUGUGAAAUCCCCCGGCUCAACCGGGGAAUUGCGCCUGAUACUGGCGGGCUAGAGGUCGAUAGGGGUGAGCGGAACUCCAGGUGGAGCGGUGAAAUGCGUAGAUAUCUGGAGGAACACCGGUGGCGAAAGCGGCUCACUGGAUCGAAACUGACGCUGAGGUGCGAAAGCUAGGGUAGCAAACGGG